UCUGAUUUGUGCUUGAGAACCACUGGCCUAAGCUAAAAGUGAGUUUAGGAUAGGAGUGAUCCAGAGGUAGUUUGGGAAGGGGCCAUCACAUCCGUCCCACCUAGAGGCCAAAACCAGGCCUAGGGUGAGAAGUACUCAAUACUGAAAGCCUGAGAGGACAGGAGAAUCCCUGGGUAUGGACUUAUCUCCAUUCUGAGCAUGUAACACAGAAAGAAGGUCAACCUUUUAUCCACGUUCUAUCCAACACAAGAUCAGGAGCUGCUAGCAGCCUCAGCGCCCUAUGUGGUGCCAGGAAAACAGGUGAAGCCUCCUCUCUAGCUUAGGAUGGAGUCAGGAGUGUCAAGAGGAUCUGAAGUUGAGACAAGAAGGACUCAGUCUGAGGAUCUUGGGGGUGGAAAGUUCGCAGAAUGGAUCACCCGGAGAAAAAGAGAGAAAGAGAGAGGAUUCUGAAAGAUUGUUUCGAUUUCAUCAUAUUUAUGAUCCAUAUCCUUGCUAAGAACUACUUUUGGCCAAACGUGAACUUGUACGAUUGAUUUUCUACUCAGAUGCUUCGAAUUCCAGAGAUCCAGUGAUCCUCGUAGCUCCUUUGGGAUAUUCAGUAUGGGAGGAACCCAUGAUUUCCAGCUGCAACAUGCAUGGAAGAGCUUUACAGUCGUCACUCUCACCCUUAAAACAAGGAAAAGCGGAACAAAUAGAAAAUCAAUGGCUUUUAUUGAAUCCAUCAAAUCACUGAGAUCAUAGGGCAAAUUGGCACCCUGAAAUUCAGAGAGACACGCAAAUCAGGAGAGUCACAGUGAAGAACUGCUUGCUGGGAGCAGGAGCCACAUGAACCAUAAACGUGUAGGAGACUUACCUGGUGAUUUUGAUGAACUGCUGGAAGCUCAGUGUGGACUAGCUUGACAAGAGGAAAAUCCUGGUGACUGUAGGCUUCACAAGGGCCCCAUGUUUUUCAAGUCCACUACGUUUCCAAGACUUGGAGACAAGGUUCUUCGGGUCAGCACAGAGGCAAUGGUACAUGCAGUGAGUAGCAGGUCUCAGCAUGGAUUUCUUCACAAGCAUCUCCAGUACAGGCCUGGACAAUCUUCUUCAGAUGAGCAACAAGAUCCUCUGGUUCUUAAUCAUCAAUAUACUCAAAUGGUUCUGGAGGUUCUGGCUCUUGUUCUUCUUCCUCGAUUUUUGGGCCAUGGGCUGUUCUUCAAUGUCUUCACUGGUAUCCUUCAGGAUAAUGAUGCCUCCAAUGGAAAAUGGUUUGAAAGGCUGGUAUCUACAGGUCUCUGGCAUGGUCAGGACCUUAAGCUGGGCAGGCAUAACUCGGGCUGGAUUAUCCAAUAACUGGAAGUUUGGCUCAGGUUCUUUUUUCUUCUCUUUUUCUUCCUUUUUCUCUGCUUCAUCCACUUCCAUUUUCUCCU
Molecule: long non-coding RNA, 1409 nt
Organism: Canis lupus familiaris (dog)
Lineage: Eukaryota; Metazoa; Chordata; Mammalia; Carnivora; Canidae
Exons: 4
Source: RefSeq, a predicted model, not a curated record